Molecule: ribosomal RNA, 460 nt
Filed under: uncultured bacterium
Lineage: Bacteria
Description: partial 16S ribosomal RNA
Rfam family: Bacterial small subunit ribosomal RNA
Source: RNAcentral
CCUACGGGAGGCAGCAGUGAGGAAUAUUGGUCAAUGGACGAGAGUCUGAACCAGCCAAGUAGCGUGAAGGAUGACUGCCCUAUGGGUUGUAAACUUCUUUUAUAUGGGAAUAAAAUGUUCCUCGUGGGGGAUUUUGUAUGUACCAUAUUAAUUAGGAUCGGCUAACUCCGUGCCAGCAGCCGCGGUAAUACGGAGGAUCCGAGCGUUAUCCGGAUUUAUUCGGUUUAAAGGGAGCGUAGGUGGAUUGUUAAGUCAGUUGUGAAAGUUGGCGGGUCAACCGUAAAAGUGCAGUUGAAACUGGCAGUCUUGAGUACAGGAGAGGUGGGCGGAAUUCGUGGUGUAGCGGUGAAAUGCUUAGAUAUCACGAAGAACUCCGAUUGCGAAGGCAGUUCACUGGACUGCAACUGACACUGAGGCUCGAAAGUGUGGGUAUCAAACAGGAUUAGAUACCCGUGUAGUC